RNAcentral lists this unclassified non-coding RNA (320 nucleotides) under plant metagenome. RNAcentral's name for it is "partial contains 5.8S ribosomal RNA, internal transcribed spacer 2, and large subunit ribosomal RNA". The stretch from base 1 to 104 matches the Rfam family "5.8S ribosomal RNA", at positions 51 to 154 of the family's 154-position model. The record is from RNAcentral.
AAAUGCGAUAAGUAAUGUGAAUUGCAGAAUUCAGUGAAUCAUCGAAUCUUUGAACGCACAUUGCGCCCGCCAGUAUUCUGGCGGGCAUGCCUGUUCGAGCGUCAUUACAACCCUCAGGCCCCCCGGGCCUGGCGUUGGGGAUCGGCGGAAGCCCCCUGCGGGCACAACGCCGUCCCCCAAAUACAGUGGCGGUCCCGCCGCAGCUUCCAUUGCGUAGUAGCUAACACCUCGCAACUGGAGAGCGGCGCGGCCACGCCGUAAAACACCCAACUUCUGAAUGUUGACCUCGAAUCAGGUAGGAAUACCCGCUGAACUUAAGC